GAAUGACGGCUUUCGGUGAUUAUCCGGCGGAGUACAACCCGAAGGUCCACAGACCUUACUACGACAAGACGGAUACGCCCUUGGGCCAGGUGAAGUUGAACGAAUUGGGUG
Molecule: non-coding RNA, 111 nt
Organism: Aedes aegypti (yellow fever mosquito)
Lineage: Eukaryota; Metazoa; Arthropoda; Insecta; Diptera; Culicidae
Source: Rfam